AUGGAGAUAUGGAUCUUAAUAAUUCUUGUAACAGGUGUAUUUGCUGACAGCAUUAAACCAAAAGACACCAAUAUAAUGAGAAGUGAAGGAGAUUCUGUGACACUGAGCUGCACGUAUGCAUCCAGCAGUUAUAUUCUGCUUUACUGGUACAGACAGAAUCCCAACAGAGAACCUCAGUUUAUAUUGUGGAAAGGUGGUGGAUCAUUGAGUGCUAAUGAGGAUAUACCAGACCCUCGGUUUCAGUCAGAAACAUCUGAAUCAUCCACUGAACUCAUUAUUAAGAGUGUUUCUCUGUCAGAUUCAGCUCUAUAUUACUGUGCUCUGAAAGAUGAAGCCCAGUGA
Molecule: non-coding RNA, 342 nt
Organism: Triplophysa dalaica
Lineage: Eukaryota; Metazoa; Chordata; Actinopteri; Cypriniformes; Nemacheilidae
Source: the annotation of a RefSeq genome assembly